Molecule: transfer RNA, 72 nt
Filed under: Ornithorhynchus anatinus (platypus)
Lineage: Eukaryota; Metazoa; Chordata; Mammalia; Monotremata; Ornithorhynchidae
Rfam family: tRNA
About the family: Transfer RNA (tRNA) molecules are approximately 80 nucleotides in length. Their secondary structure includes four short double-helical elements and three loops (D, anti-codon, and T loops).
Source: Rfam by way of RNAcentral
AGCAGUGUGGCCUAAUGGAAAGACCAUGAGCUUGGGAGUCAGAGGAUGUGGGUUCUAAUCCCAGCUCUGCCA